This is a long non-coding RNA of Notolabrus celidotus (New Zealand spotty), 1330 nucleotides long. RefSeq lists it as uncharacterized. The transcript is spliced from 4 exons. The record is from RefSeq and is a predicted model, not a curated record. NCBI's taxonomy places the organism in Eukaryota, Metazoa, Chordata, Actinopteri, Labriformes, Labridae.
GUAGCUGCAACUCAGCUAACUCUGCUAACUUUGCAAGCUACAAUCUCUUUCUGGGUUUUUCUGCUCUAAAAGAUUUUCAGAACAAAGUUAAACUGCUAAUAAUUGCCUCAAGAAGACUUUGUAGAUGAAAUACAAACAUUUGUGUCACAACUUGUUGCCAUGUUUGUCCCACUAGCUUAGCUUCAGCCUGGAAGUUCUGUAAGCAUAAACUGCUGACUCACUGCUUCACAUCAACAAGCUCAGCACCUCCCGCAGGUGUCGCCCUCUGUCGCUGUGAGACUGCAGCUCGGCACACAACAGGUCACCCAGAGUGACUCGACGCAGGCCGAACCUCUCCUCCAUCCGCUCGCACUGCAGAGAUUUACCUGAUCCCGGACCACCUGAGAACACACACACCACACAAAGAGGGACGGGAUGAUAUCAGAGAGGAACAGAUUGCAGAACCCUCCUCUCUCCUCGAUCAUCGUCUCUUCCAGGUGCAUGCAAGAAACUGGAAGAUCCUAAAUCACGGGGAAAUGAUUUCCAGAGAAAAACACCUACUCCAAGACUCUGCUACAGAAAACAUAUGAAGACAACUUGGAUACAUGGAAAGAUGUCACACUGCUCUUAAAAACAUCUGUAAAUGCAGCUGCAUGAAGGCUGUAUGGAGGGGAAGCUUUCUGCUUGCUGAGCCUUACAUAAGACUCAUCCAUACAUGAGUAUGUCCAGAAUGGUUCGUCUGUGAUUUCAGAUUAGUUGGUAGAAACACCUGAACAGUAAGAGGACUAACUCUCUUUCUGUUGCCUAAACGUUUCUAUAUCAUUCUCUAUCUUUGUGUUUUUGCAGCUUUUGUGCAACUUAAGGAGUUUAAACCUGUGUGUGAUUGGUAUUUUAGUGUCCUAUUACAAAUCAGGCCGCUCUCGAGUGUGACAAGAAGAGUUGCAGGAGUGUGUCAGGCAGCUGUCAGGUAACGAACACCAAUUUUUAUGUCAAGGAUCACAGAGAAUGUAAGCCUCAGCUGUGUUAUGUGCUCAACCUCUAUCAUCUUAAGUCCAUGUUCUGCAGAGAAGCUGACAACUGCUUUCUAUGAAUGAUUUGAGGGUUAAAAUGUCAUGUUAUAAUGAUGCCGCAUUCAAACUGUGCCCUCUUUUUGGCUGUGCAUGAACUGUAACACCACAGAGCGGAUCAUUUUUUCAGAUAACUCUGCAGCUAAACAUAUUUCCUCCUCCGUGAUGUCUCUGAGGUGCCAUAUGUCCUCUCAUGACAAUUCUGCAGCUCCCAACACGAGGCCUGUUUUUCCUGAGAAAAUGUUGAGGCAAACAUGUUCCACAGUGUUCUCUUAUUAAACUAA